RNAcentral lists this ribosomal RNA (275 nucleotides) under uncultured bacterium. RNAcentral describes it as "partial 16S ribosomal RNA". It matches the Rfam family "Bacterial small subunit ribosomal RNA", at positions 338 to 605 of the family's 1533-position model. The record is from RNAcentral.
CCUACGGGUGGCUGCAGUGGGGAAUCUUGCGCAAUGCGCGAAAGCGUGACGCAGCAACACCGCGUGAGGGAAGACGGCCUUCGGGUUGUAAACCUCUUUCAGGAGGGACGAAGGGUGACCGGUGAACAGCCGUGUUGCUUGACGGUACCUCCAGAAGAAGCUCCGGCUAACUACGUGCCAGCAGCCGCGGUAAUACGUAGGGAGCGAGCGUUGUCCGGAAUCAUUGGGCGUAAAGCGCGCGUAGGCGGCCCGAUAAGUCCGCUGUAAAAGUCAAC